CUCCCCUCACGCGUGCCCUAACCGGCGCUGCGAGUAGUUUCUCCUCUCUUAUUUUUCCUCCCGAGCUCGAUCUUCUUUCCCUCAUCUUCUCCAGUCGUCGUUCCCAUCUCUCCCCCAUCCUGUUCCUCUCCUCCGCGCGGUGCCAAACCAUCAUCUUCCCUGAUCUUCACCGGAAACCAAGACGCCGAUUCCUUGCCUGUUGACACCAUCCUCACCGACCGACCAGAGCCGAGGAAAAGCCGAUCUCUUCCUCACGCGAUUGUGCUCUGCCCUAGCACCGACCGCGAUUUCCUCUGCCUGACACCGACCCUCAUCUCCUCUCCUCGGUGUCGCCGGCACAUAUCUGGUCUCUUUCAUUUCCGCCGCCACACGGGACAGCGCCAACUUCUCCACACCGAGCCCUAGUUCCUGAUUCGUGGUCGCCGCUGCACAGAGCAAUGCCGACCAUCUCUGGAAAUUUCCUGUUCGCGUGCCCUAGAUUUCCUCUUGCUGCUGGAUCUGAACAAAACAACAAUGAUGGUAUCAGGAAAGUGCCACGGUUCUUAUUGUUUGGUGCUUUUCUUGGUUUCCAGCAGCGUUCCUAUUCCUGCAGCAACUCCUUCCAACAUCAACGAUAGCUAGAAAUUGAGCCACUGGAUCCGGCUAUAACCUUCUCUAGCAGUGGGUUGAUGCUAUCAGGAGAGAGUUCCAGUUGCUAGUCCCCUGCAGACCACGAAAAUGUUGGAUGAUCUUUUAGUUUUAUUGUUUUGACUAUGUCCGUCUUAUUCUGGUUUUGAUACUAUGGAUUUUUGAUACUAUGGAUCUGGUAUGACUGUAUGUGUCGAUGGUUUUGGUGUUGGGAUAUGUUUUACUACAUGUCUGCUUGGACGGCAGAAGAGGUAAGUUGAUCUUAUUGUCGGAUUUGAGCUUUAUGA
Zingiber officinale is the source of this 914-nucleotide long non-coding RNA. RefSeq lists it as uncharacterized. NCBI's taxonomy places the organism in Eukaryota, Viridiplantae, Streptophyta, Magnoliopsida, Zingiberales, Zingiberaceae. The transcript is spliced from 3 exons. The record is from RefSeq and is a predicted model, not a curated record.